RNAcentral lists this ribosomal RNA (194 nucleotides) under Anguinella palmata. RNAcentral's name for it is "partial 16S ribosomal RNA". The record is from RNAcentral. Lineage: Eukaryota; Metazoa; Bryozoa; Gymnolaemata; Ctenostomatida; Nolellidae.
AGAGUUUUAGUAACCUAAAUUAACUAAAAGUAAUAAAAGAACAAAUUUUUUUUCUUAGUUUAAGGUACUUUCAUUGGGGAAGUGAAAGGUGAUUAAAAACCUUUACAUACAAUUAUACAAAUAGUAGAAUAGAAGAUCCUUAAAAAGAAUUAAGAAAAAACUACUCAGGGAUAACAGCGUUAUUUUACUGAGAG